UACACAGCAGCACAGCGGAGAGAAUAAGCAUUGUGCUAUCUGCAAGUUUAAAGCGUGCACACUCCACAGAUACUGUCAGGACAAUGAGGCUUCUUAUCGCAACACGACCUCAGCGUUUCACACCACUGGCAAAGGCAUAACCAGAGGCUACAGUGAUGUAACACACCCAGGCAGACACAGCUGGCUCUUGCCCCGCCAGGAGCUGAACGCCACACUGGAGCCUACAUCACAGCGAGGAUGGACUCAGAGGAAGCUGUCUGUGACACGAAGCCAAGACUUGUCACUUUGGAAUGAAGUUCAUAGAGACCAAACGGAGCCAAAAGGAGAGUGAAUUUUGGAUUUUGGCUACAUCAUCAGGUGGACAUCUGACUCCAGGAUGUUUGACCUGCUCUUCCACUACCUCCUUCUUGCUCUGAGCCGGAGCUGGCGCACUGUACUUCUCACUGAAUAUAUCACCAUCCUCAUCAUCUUCAUCGAAGAGGUCAAUAGCUUUCUUGGGUUUGGGUUUCUCCUGUCCAGCUGAAAGAGGAGGAGAACAACCAACACACAGAGGUUUGAUGGGUGAGGCUCCCAUCUGAACUUGGACUGCAGCACUGAAGGGCCCAUUCUCACACACUUACCAGAGUCAGAAUUUUUCAGGCUUUUACUACCGAAGAUGUCAUCAUCCUCAUCCUCCUCAUCGAACAGCCCACGUCCUCCUAGUCCACCAGCUAAUGUAGGAACCUGUUUAGAGGCAGCUGGAGUUCCAUUCUCUUUGCUCUCCACUGGAUCAGAGUUAUUCCCUGAACUGAACAGGUUGUCAUCUGUGGAGAGAACAUGAUUUGGUUUGGUUGAGGAUAACAAAUCAAAGAAGGACAUGAUAUUAGCUGUCACACAAGUAAAUGCUACUACCUGGGAAUAUUGAAAUGGCACCAGCUGGAAUCUUCUUUCCAGGUUUGUCAGAUUCUAGUGGAGAAAAUAAAAGUUCAGUGGCAAUCUGCUAGUCCAGUUUAUUCUAUAUGGUUAAACCCAUCUUAUCUUAUCUUAUCCAUCUUAUCUAUAUGUCUUUGCACAUAUCUGUCAAGACAGUCGGUCAUACCUGCACUUUGACCUUUGCUUUUCAUGCUUUCAUUCAGCUCCUUCUUCUCCUCAUACACAGGAGGUUUUGGUGCCUCAGAGAAAAGAUCACCCUGAAUGACAUAACAUAAUGCAGCACAAAUCAAAUUCUGACUGCAGCCUAGAAUUUAUGUAAUGUAUAAGUGGACUGAAUAACAAAGAGCUCUGCCUAUCAUUCAGUUUAACAUACCUCGUCAUCAUCGUCAAACAGGCCUCUCCCUCCACUGAAGAGGCCACUUUUCCCUCCAAAUGGGGAGAAGUCAUCAUCAUCCAUCUUUGGUGGCUUAAACAUGUCAUCGCUGUCCUCCUCAGCUGCUGUUCCAAUAAACAUAAACAGUAUGGAGCAGCAUACUGAGUAACAAUGGGCCUGCAGUCGAAAUAACUUGCAAAAUGGAACCAAAAAAUAAACUGAACUGAUGAUGAAUGAAAGUCCUACCCUGUGCCUUUGCAGGCUUUGGUUCUUUCCUGCCUUUACUUUUCUUCUUAGAUGCCAAUGCUUCCAAGACAUGACAUGGCAGAAACACAAAAUCCAUGAGCAUGCACAUGCAAUGAUCGAACUCAUUACUUAAAUCUCAAAUGUAAACUUUGAUGCUGUCCCUUCCCCAAAGUAAGUACGAAGACUGGGAAGACUAAAAAAGUGAGACACAUACUACCAGUUGGUUGAUCAUGACAGUGACUUACAUGCGCGAUCUCCUUCUGGUUUGUUAGCUGGUUCACCUUUGAUUCGGGCCGCAAGCUCAUCGGCAAAAGACGAUGGGCCUGUGUUCUGAAUGUGACACAAUAAACAAACAAGAAAAGUAAGCUAUCAGAAUGAUUUCAGACAGAAUUACAAACAAUCCACUCACAAAGAUAUCUCUCUCACUACCAGAGCAAGUUAUAACAGGUGUACCUUUGUGUCGUCGUCAUCAUCCCUGUCUGAUUCUCCAAAUAUGUCAGAAUCCUCGUCCUCCUCCUCUUCAUCAUCCUCAUAACUCAAUAUGGAUGACUUCUGGGUGAAUGUGGGGGAAGAAUCCAAAAUUAGAAAGUUGUUUAAAUGUACUCUUUAAUGUGUUUGGCAGGCAAGCAAGCAGGCAGCUUACCUUCUUAAUAUUAUUGUGACCUCCUUCCUCCUCUUGAUCAAAGUCCUCA
Molecule: long non-coding RNA, 2223 nt
Organism: Chelmon rostratus (copperband butterflyfish)
Lineage: Eukaryota; Metazoa; Chordata; Actinopteri; Chaetodontiformes; Chaetodontidae
Exons: 3
Source: RefSeq, a predicted model, not a curated record